Molecule: ribosomal RNA, 409 nt
Filed under: uncultured microorganism
Description: bacterial SSU rRNA
Rfam family: Archaeal small subunit ribosomal RNA
Source: RNAcentral
GCGCAGCAGGCGAGAAAACUUUACAAUGUGCGAAAGCACGAUAAGGGAACUCUGAGUGCUUCCUAAGGAGGCUGUUCUGAUGUCUAAAAAGCAACAGAAGUAAGGGCUGGGUAAGACCGGUGCCAGCCGCCGCGGUAACACCGGCAGCCCAAGUGGUAGCCACGUUUAUUGGGUCUAAAGCGUUCGUAGCCGGCCAGGUAAGUUCCUUGGUAAAUUUAGCCGCUUAACGGUUAAGCUUUCAGGGAAUACUGCUUGGCUUGGGACUGGGAGAGGUCAGAGGUACUCCGGGGGUAGGGUGAAAUCUAUUAAUCCCUGGGGGACCACCGGUAGCGAAGGCGUCUGACCAGACCAGGUCCGACGGUGAGGGACGAAGGCUAGGGGCGCGAACCGGAUUAGAUACCCCUGUAGU